CAGCAGCUACGGUAAUACGAAGGGUGCAAGCGUUACUCGGAAUUACUGGGCGUAAAGCGUGCGUAGGUGGUGGUUUAAGUCCGUUGUGAAAGCCCUGGGCUCAACCUGGGAAUUGCAGUGGAUACUGGGUCACUAGAGUGUGGUAGAGGAUAGUGGAAUUUCCGGUGUAGCAGUGAAAUGCGUAGAGAUCGGAAGGAACAUCUGUGGCGAAGGCGACUAUCUGGGCCAACACUGACACUGAGGCACGAAAGCGUGGGGAGCAAACAGGAUUAGAUACCCCGGUAGUCCCUGUCUCUUAUAC
RNAcentral lists this ribosomal RNA (301 nucleotides) under uncultured bacterium. Its description in RNAcentral is "partial 16S ribosomal RNA". It matches the Rfam family "Bacterial small subunit ribosomal RNA", at positions 509 to 807 of the family's 1533-position model. The record is from RNAcentral.